Molecule: unclassified non-coding RNA, 187 nt
Filed under: soil metagenome
Description: partial internal transcribed spacer 1
Source: RNAcentral
CAGAGUUGCAAAACUCCCACAAACCAUCGCGAAUCUUACCCGUACGGUUGCCUCGGCGCUGGCGGUCCGGAAGGCCCUCGGGCCCCCCGGAUCCUCGGGUCUCCCGCUCGCGGGAGGCUGCCCGCCGGAGUGCCGAAACCAAACUCUUGAUAUUUAUGUCUCUCUGAGUAAACUUUUAAAUAAGUCA